AUUGAACGCUGGCGGCAGGCCUAACACAUGCAAGUCGAACGAGUGGCGGACGGGUGAGUAAUGUCUGGGAAACUGCCUGAUGGAGGGGGAUAACGACCGGAAACGGUAGCUAAUACCGCACACCAUCAGAUGUGCCCAGAUGGGAUUAGCUAGUUGGUUGGGUAACGGCUCACCAAGGCGACGAUCCCUAGCUGGUCUGAGAGGAUGACCAGCCACACUGGAACUGAGACACGGUCCAGACUCCUACGGGAGGCAGCAGUGGGGAAUAUUGCACAAUGGGCGCAAGCCUGAUGCAGCCAUGCCGCGUGUAUGAAGAAGGUCUUCGGGUUGUAAAGUACUUUCAGCUGGGAGGCGUUACCCACAGAAGAAGCACCGGCUAACUCCGUGCCAGCAGCCGCGGUAAUUC
This 406-nucleotide ribosomal RNA is filed under the name uncultured bacterium. Its description in RNAcentral is "partial 16S ribosomal RNA". It matches the Rfam family "Bacterial small subunit ribosomal RNA", at positions 30 to 526 of the family's 1533-position model. The record is from RNAcentral.